CCUACGGGAGGCAGCAGUAGGGAAUCUUCCACAAUGGGCGAAAGCCUGAUGGAGCAACGCCGCGUGAGUGAUGAAGGCCUUCGGGUUGUAAAACUCUGUCAUUCGGGACGAACCGGAGUCUGAGGAAAUGCAGACUCUCUGACGGUACCGGAGGAGGAAGCCCCGGCUAACUACGUGCCAGCAGCCGCGGUAAUACGUAGGGGGCAAGCGUUGUCCGGAUUCACUGGGCGUAAAGCGCGCGCAGGCGGUGAUGUAAGUCUGAGGUGAAAACCCGAAGCUCAACUUCGGGACUGCCUUGGAUACUGCGUCACUUGAGGAUAGGAGAGGCAAGGGGAAUUCCACGUGUAGCGGUGAAAUGCGUAGAGAUGUGGAGGAACACCUGUGGCGAAGGCGCCUUGCUGGCCUAUUUCUGACGCUGAGGCGCGAAAGCGUGGGGAGCAAACAGGAUUAGAUACCCUGGUAGUCCACGCUGUAAACGAUGAGUGCUAGGUGUAGGUGGGCUCAUACCCAUCUGUGCCGAAGCUAACGCAUUAAGCACUCCGCCUGGGGAGUACGGUCGCAAGCUGAAACUUAAUGAAUUGAGG
Molecule: ribosomal RNA, 584 nt
Filed under: uncultured bacterium
Lineage: Bacteria
Description: bacterial SSU rRNA
Rfam family: Bacterial small subunit ribosomal RNA
Source: RNAcentral